This is a non-coding RNA of Salmo salar (Atlantic salmon), 54 nucleotides long. The record is from Rfam. NCBI's taxonomy places the organism in Eukaryota, Metazoa, Chordata, Actinopteri, Salmoniformes, Salmonidae.
UGAAUUCACUACUGUAAGUUGCUCUGGAUAAGAGUGUCUGCUAAAUGACUAAAA